This is a long non-coding RNA of Spodoptera frugiperda (fall armyworm), 719 nucleotides long. RefSeq lists it as uncharacterized. The transcript has 2 exons. NCBI's taxonomy places the organism in Eukaryota, Metazoa, Arthropoda, Insecta, Lepidoptera, Noctuidae. The record is from RefSeq and is a predicted model, not a curated record.
GCAAAUCAAACUGAUGAGCAUCGCGAAGCGCGAAAUGAACUUGAACUGAAUCGAUAUCAAGAUAGAAAUGUUGUGUUUAAUCCCCACAAAGCUGCAUUCAGUUAUAAUGUGGCAAUUGAUUACAGUUCAGAGCAAAUUGUUGCUAUUGGACUAAUGAACAUUGUGUGUCCACAUUGGGAUUGAAAUUAAAAAAUUAAGCCUCUGGAUUGUGUUGCGCCAGCGGCCAAGUCAAAUUGACGCCAUUGGUACCGCCACCAGAGCCACUACAUUCAUUGGUUCAUUUUUUGACUCAUAUCCAGCAGUACAAUAAUUGCUUUCAAAUGACAUCAUUCGGGGCAACAAAAGUUAUACGAGACAAUUUUUUGCCCACUUUUAGCAAAUUCAGGGAUUCAAAUAUAUCAUCAAACAGGUUCCUUAUUGCCAGUGCCUGUUGAAGACUAUACAUUUUUGCAAAUAUAUUUUAUGGACAAUUCAGCAAGAAAAGUCGAUCAGCGUUGCGCACACAACAACUCAGUAAAGAGAUCCAUUGUGAUGAACAACUUCAAACAUUUUUCCUUCAACACAAUGAAUUAGUUGCAUUAGACCGAUGCAUUAGACAUUCACAAAUGCAUUAGACCGCAUGCCAUCAGAUAAUCACAAAAUUGUCAUCAGAGCCGAUAAGGCGCCUGCAGGACAGUGAAAUGAUUGAAUCCUAUGAAAUAAACACUAUUAUGAAAAUA